RNAcentral lists this long non-coding RNA (1442 nucleotides) under Nicotiana benthamiana. Its description in RNAcentral is "long non-coding RNA (NBEN_LNC010156)". Lineage: Eukaryota; Viridiplantae; Streptophyta; Magnoliopsida; Solanales; Solanaceae. The record is from RNAcentral.
UAAAAUGGCAUUUCCAUGCCUUUAUUCACAAGUUUUGGCAGCCUGAAAAUUCCCCAAAAAAAUACUUCCCAAAGCUUCCAGAUCUGGAGUGAAAACUUCAGAUCUGAAAUUUUCUUAGACUUUUAACUUCUUCAAAAGAAAAACAACAAAAAACUUCAAAAAUCAAAAGAGGCCACUAUUUCAUUUGGAAUUGUAGGAUAAUUUGGAUGUUCUAUUCAUGGAUGCACCUCUCUUAGUUCUGUCAUUGAUUGCGGAAAGUUUAGAGAUCCAUUAGUUGUGUUUCGAGUAAGAUUACUGAGGUUCAAGGGGGUUUACUGUUCAGCUGCAAUUUUCUCUCAUUUUGGGUCCAAGUUCAAGUUAAUCUGAGUGCGUUCAAGUGUGUUGUUCGAGUUACUGUUUCUAUUUGAUUUCAAAUUUCUCCUGAAUUAUCAAGUUCAACCUCUGGACUAUACUUGAUUUCUGGACUGUUGCCGCUGAUCUAUCAAUUUUCUAUUUUGUGUCGAAUUUUAGGUACAUGUUUCAGCCCGCUCAGUAUAAUAUCUCCUGUGGAAUGGAAAUGUAUUAGGUUUCUUAGAAAAGGUUUAUAUUUUGGCAUAUUCAUCUCUGUGAUCCAAUGUUAAUUGAAUAACGUUGACUUAACUGUAAUCAUUGGCUAAUACAAUCAGUGUCAAUUGGAUUUAAUUGUUGAAAGCCAUUACUUAAAGUGAGUUUGACAUUCAAUGAGUUUGUGCAUUUUGGUAUAAUAGUUAAGAGGCAUUGGAAAUUGGACCUUUGUGUCUGUACUGGAUUCGAUCCCAAACCUUGGCAUCACAGCCACCUGAUUUGCUCAGUACUCCCAUUGGGCCAUCUGUUUUCAUUUGGGCCCCUACCAGUGCAUUUCGUGUUUUAUAGAAUUUUGUUGCUUCUCGUUGCUUGGAUACGAUGCCCACUGUUCGGGAUUGCUGGAACUUAAACAAUUGGCCUGUCGCAGGUGUAUUGUGAAAAAAUUCAGUUUUUAUUAAAGGUGACGUGGCAUGACACGUGGAUUGGUCUAACAGUCAAAGAGCAAUAAAUGAUUAAAAUGCACGGAAGACAACAUGCACGGUAGAAGAAAAGAAAACAGGCACGAGAAGGAAUCUUAGAUACGAUUCUCAUGUCUAUCCAAGACAUUCAAUAUCAACGGAUAAAAAGUGCAUUGAAGACACGAAUCUAAUGACAAAAUGUAGUCUACAUUCAUUAUUAAAUACCUGAUACGUUAGUUAUUCAGUGUUAAAUAGCAAUGAUUAUGUAACGUCUCAUUAAAUGCUCUUUAUUAUUUAGAAUAAUCCGUUACUCCUUGUCAACUAUAAAAGGAGGAAGUUUUAUCAUUUGUAGACACAGAACUCUCUUGAGAUCAUAGUGAAAUACAACUUUCUUAUUGCUUUAUUCGUAUUCUUUGAAAGCCAAUUAUAUUUCGGUCUCUU